CGCGUAUUUCGCCCAGGCGGAGCCAGGCCGCCGAUAAGAGACAUCGAUGGGUUCAUCGAUGAGAACCGGGCAGAGUACGGGGUCGAGCUGAUCUGUGAGCAGCUGGUGUCAGCCGGUGUCCAGGUCGCCCCG
The sequence is a regulatory RNA element, 132 nucleotides long. It matches the Rfam family "ALIL pseudoknot". The record is from Rfam.